Molecule: long non-coding RNA, 2481 nt
Organism: Orcinus orca (killer whale)
Lineage: Eukaryota; Metazoa; Chordata; Mammalia; Artiodactyla; Delphinidae
Exons: 2
Source: RefSeq, a predicted model, not a curated record
CUGAAACAAGGGAGGUGGCCCUGGUGAGACCACCCCUGGUAUGGCUGCCACAUUCUCAGAGGGAGGCCACCAAGAAGAGCAAGACUGGAGGAAGAUGGGCAGGACGGUGGAGCUUUCCGGAACCAUGAUGUACUAGGAGGUCUAGGGUUUUGGUGUGCAGAGGGAAGCCAGAAUACACUUCACGAACAUGAAGCGAUGUCCCAUGACAAAGCGAGUUGACUUCUGCCACGUGGACCUGGAGGAUGGCUGGAGCCAUGAGGUGGUGGAUUGCUACCCAGGGCGAGGAGGAAUUCUGUGACAGCAAAAGUUACCAGAACAUGGAGAGAUAGACUACCUGGUUAGGAGCAGUGGGGUGGGGAGCCCGCUUAUCAGGGGCGGUGACUGGGGACCGAGUCAUGACUUGGGUGACGCAUUUCAUUUAUGGGAUAUAGAUGGUGGGGAGGGGGAGGGAGAAGGCGGGCAGAGGAUGGGGGAGGCCUGGAAUCCCAGGAUUCAUCCCUGUCACUGGGUGCUGCCAGCCAAAGAAUGGCAUGCUGCCUGGACUCUUGAGUUUAGACUAUUUAUGCAAAUGCAUUGUUCUUUUCAGUGCUUGGAACUCCCAGAGGUAAGUUACCUGCUGAGGCAAUUGUGGAUUAAUCUGAGGCAAUCAGCUAUCUCUAAGUCCACCCAAGCCCGCAUUUGGAUCAGAUAGGAUGAUUCAUAGCAAUCUGAAGUCAACUUUGAAAGCUGGGUUCUUCCCGGAACACCGGCCGGUGCCCUUGAUGACGGAUCAGACACAGGGCUGGGCUCUGCCUGGGAUUGGCGCGGCUGUGUGGCGAGGUUGCUUUUUGUGCCCUAAGAACUUUGGGAGGAGGGACGGGAGCCCUGUGGCUGCUUCCUGGUCCCGGGUCUGAAAACCACUUAAUUUAACACAGUUGGCAACUCCUCCACCCAAGUUGCCUUGGGCUUCCUUCCACAGGCAAAGCGUGCGGCCAGUGAGGUGGACGGCCUUGCUCAUACUGGAGCUGGUCCAUGGCAUUCGCGAGACUUGAAAAGCAUUUUCAAGGGCUGUAUCUCAUUUGGAUCCUCCCGACAGCCCUGUGAAUGUGAGGAGGGCAAGUAUUUCCCAGGAGCGGCAGGUGAGGAAACUGAGGUCCAGAGCGAUUUUCCAAGGUAACAUGGAUAAUGAGGGGGGACUAGAAAUCGUGUCCUCCAGCUCCAAAUCUAGUGUCUUUCUAAAGCAAGACCAUAGAGUAGUUGGCUUUUCCAAACCUGGAAAUAAAUGCAAAGAGGUUUAUUAUUUGUCUUCCCAUCUCUUGCACAUGGUUGGUUGGUUGUUGGUUGUGGACAAACAGUCCAGAUGUGCUGUCUGGGGGUGUGCGCAGGUCACCCCAUGCAGGGUAUAGGACCCAGCACUGGUGUGGCCCUUCACGUGCUCCAGGAAGACCCUUCCCUAGAGGUUGCCUCAUGUGGAGGUAUCCUGGGUCAUGUGUCAGCGUUCCACUCCUUUCUGGGCCAAGCUGUGUGAGCCCUUGAGGAGACAGAGAAAUCUGUGUUGAAGCCGUGGAAUGAUCCGAUCCAAUUCUCCUAGAGGACAGGGAGAUAUCCAAGCUCGGCAAAUGGAGGAGAGUGAUUUGGUACUAAAAGCACUUGUGAAGAGUGGAAUAGACCUUUAAAACAAUACAAACGUGAGUUUUAACUGUAAGUGACCCAGCACAAAAGACAAGAGCAGAGACCCUGGACGGGGGUGCCGGCGGCCUGAAGGGCUUCGCCUAAGCACCCUGCCACCCCCUCCUGCAGAUCUGACAGGACAGGAAGAGGCUGCAGGAACAAGUCUCAUCAGGCUGCAGGGGGCCCUUCCCAGACACUGCUGGCAUCCUGGACCCGAUGCUACCUCCUUGCUCACAUGUGAGCAAUUUAUCUCAGGUCUUGUUUUGGCUUAGAAAUCCUUUAAUCUCCCAGGAUUGUUUUAAUGGAUCGGCCUCUAUUUUUAUUCCUGGAUGGAAGAGUGCAUCGGAGACUCAGCCGAGUCCACUGGACGUGUGGAGACCUGUCCCCGGGAGCACUGAAUUCCUCGCAGCUUCCAGCAAGUUAAGGACAGAGCCCAGAGACUGAAAUGAAAACACCAACAGGAGGAGGCCUGCUCUCAACCACCAAGUUUGGGGCAUAGUAGGCAUUCGGCAAAUAUUUGCUAAAAACAAACAUUGAGGGGUCCUAUGAAUUCCGAGCAGUUUCUGCCCCUGCUGCACAGCGUGGGGAACGCGUGGCCAUGGCAGCCAGCAGGUCGGUUUCUGAAUUGAGGAGCCUGAUGCCUAUAAUUUUCCCAAAGCAAAAUAUUUGUGGGUAUGGCUCCAAGCCAUGGAAUUUCUAGACUUCGUGCCUUCCUUUUCUAUCCAUGGAAACUUUGCUUUUCUUUCCUAUACGUGGUCACUUCGUUUACCCUCCUCGGUUUCUCUAAGGGGAGCCUUGGGGCAUGUGGACAUUACAUUGAGCCUGUGCGUC